This is a long non-coding RNA of Uranotaenia lowii, 1634 nucleotides long. RefSeq lists it as uncharacterized. The record is from RefSeq and is a predicted model, not a curated record. The transcript has 3 exons. NCBI's taxonomy places the organism in Eukaryota, Metazoa, Arthropoda, Insecta, Diptera, Culicidae.
GAAAAGAGACUUCCGCUUGUAGAUCACGAUAAAGCGGAUUGUGGCUUCCUUCUGUGGUUUAAGUAAAUGCGGGUUGUGGCUUUUUUCUUCUCAAGUAUAGCAGAUUGCUGCUUCUGGUUUUAAAAUUUACAUGAACAAAUGUUAUAAAAUUUCAUGUGAUGAAGCUCAUUUUAUUAGUUUUACAUUAUCUUUCCUGGAAAGGCGCCCAGGAACACUUCAAACAAAAACUCCGUAAUGUAACAGAAUCGAUGUGAACAAUUAAUAGCUAAUAUGAAUGUGUAUGUGUUUAUAGCGCUGAUGUGGUCUAGUGGACAGGCUGGCGCGAGUCUGGUAACCCAGGCGUACUGGGUUCGAUUCCCGGUAUCGGCAAGAAAAACUUUUGGGUUCGAAUCCCAUAAGUUGCCGACAGGUAAGAUGCAUUUCAUUGAUAAAUAACUAUAUGUAACAAAUAUUUCAGAGGGAAUGUAUCUGGGGUUAAUCUGAAGAGACUAUUGCAAGCGGAGUGGAUUGACAACCAUUGUAGGCCUCUAAGGUUGGAUGCCAAGCCACACAGACAUAGGCUGGACCUUGCUACCGAUGGGGGAACCAUACAUACAUACAUACAUACAAUAUGAAUGUGUAUGUGUUUAUUUGAGUGAAGGUAUAUGAUUGUGGGAAUGUGUCCGCCCUGUAGUGUAGCAUGGUUCACCUUCGAGUGGUGCAGGCUAAAAAAGAAGAAAUACCGCUAAAUGAACAAUUUUCAUAUUGGUUAAAGAUAAGUAAGGGAAUUUUCUUUCAUUUUAUCAUAUUUCUGGUAAUAAAGUAAUAACUUACUCCAUUUAAUUCUUAAUCAAUUUUAAAUUUAUUCAAGCUUUUCCUUGCUUUUCUGAAAUCACUGUACCUAAUAUCCUUUACCUUUCUUUUCUAGACUCGCAUUAGUCAUUUGACUUUUUCCGCUUCAACGCUUCCUUCCUUCGCUCUCGCAAAAAUCUUCCUGCGUUGAGCGAACAUGUGUAGAUACAUCUGCGGGAACAACGGCAGAUAUCCAAUGGCCAUAAUCCACACGAAGUAGUAGAAUGAGAAGGUAAAAUUGAACCGAUUGGGCAUCGAUACGCUCCAGACGUUGUUCUGUCCAAUGUAGCUUUGGGCCCAGUAGAAACACAGCAGCUCUCCGAUGAAUCCGAGUGGAUACAGUGGAACGAACAUACUGUAGCGGAUGAAGGUCACGAAGAACGGUACCUUGGGCAAGGCCAGAUGCAACACGUAGUAGCUGUAACGCAGAAUCUCCGCCAUGGACCAACAGAAGAUGGCGAUCGGAAGGCCGGGCGAAUCCUUGGCCGUCGGCGUUAGUUCGAUGGCUCCGGCAACCACCAUACAGCGUCCGAAUACUUGCAUCAGGGUUACCAUCGGGUUACUUGGAACCAAUCGGAAGAGAGCGUGGAAAAACUGCAAGUGACAAAGGUUUUCCUUCAACGAAGAAAUGUUGAAUGAGGCGGAUGUGGAUGUACAGCCAUCUGAAAGAUAUGGGACAUUCAUUUCAAAAUAUGGAAUAUGCUGUUUUAUUUAGAGAAAACAUUCGUGCCAAGUGAUAUUGUAUGGACAACAUCACAAAGUCAUACGAAUACUAGUGGAACAAAACAACGAACCCCAGAAUU